UUGAACGCUGGCGGCAUGCUUUACACAUGCAAGUCGAACGGCAGCGCGGGCUUCGGCCUGGCGGCGAGUGGCGAACGGGUGAGUAAUGCAUCGGAACGUGCCCAGUAGUGGGGGAUAGCCCGGCGAAAGCCGGAUUAAUACCGCAUACGACCUGAGGGUGAAAGCGGGGGACCGAAAGGCCUCGCGCUAUUGGAGCGGCCGAUGUCGGAUUAGCUAGUUGGUGGGGUAAAGGCUUACCAAGGCGACGAUCCGUAGCUGGUCUGAGAGGACGACCAGCCACACUGGGACUGAGACACGGCCCAGACUCCUACGGGAGGCAGCAGUGGGGAAUUUUGGACAAUGGGGGCAACCCUGAUCCAGCCAUGCCGCGUGCGAGAAGAAGGCCUUCGGGUUGUAAACCGCUUUUGUUCGGGAAGAAAUCCUCUGGGCUAAUACCCCGGGGGGAUGACGGUACCGGAAGAAUAAGCACCGGCUAACUACGUG
This 483-nucleotide ribosomal RNA is filed under the name uncultured bacterium. RNAcentral's name for it is "partial 16S ribosomal RNA". It matches the Rfam family "Bacterial small subunit ribosomal RNA", at positions 29 to 507 of the family's 1533-position model. The record is from RNAcentral.